Long non-coding RNA from Manacus vitellinus (golden-collared manakin), 253 nucleotides. RefSeq lists it as uncharacterized. NCBI's taxonomy places the organism in Eukaryota, Metazoa, Chordata, Aves, Passeriformes, Pipridae. The record is from RefSeq and is a predicted model, not a curated record. The transcript has 3 exons.
AUCUCAGCCUGUUGCUCUGAGACAUUCUGUGUACACUGCAGAACACUUGAAGUCUUACAGAGCCCUUGAGUUUCUCAUAGAAUAUCCUGAUGAUCUUUUGGAAGGAGCAAGAGUUCACAAAUGGAACUAUGAUGAGAAGAUAAAAUAUUAUUUUUCAAAGGAAAAUGCCUUUUACACCUGAGACCAGCCACGGUGCAUCAGAUAUGUUGGUGUUUUUCUAGAAAUGAUUACCACCGGCUAAGCAAAAAGACAG